UCCUAAACAACUAAAUCAGUCUCGCCUCAUUUCUUCCCCCAAACCUGAUCUGAGAGAGAGGCUGCCUCCUUCACAAAGCCGAUUUGAACCGAACCCGAGAGCUCCUCCUCCGGCCGCUUCCGCCAUGUCCGCCAACACCAAGCCCUCUCUCUCUCUCUUCUCUUCACUUUUAGCCUUCAAUUCAUCGAUUGUUCCCAAACUCGAUCUGAGAGAGAGGCUGCCUCCUUCACAAAGCCGAUCUGUACCGAACCCGAGAACGCCUCCUCCUGCCGCUUCCGCCAUGUCCGCCAUCUCCAAGACCUCUCUCUUUGUCUCUUCACUUCACUUCAGUCUCAGCCUAAUCAGUUAGCCUUCAAUUCAUCAAACUCGAUCUGAACCUUCAUUGAAAAUACUCGAUCUGAACCUUCAUUGAAAAUACUCGAUCUGAACCUUCAGUUCCCAAACUAGUUCUGAACCUUCAGUUAGCAUACUCGAUCUGAACCUUCAGUUAGUUUACUCGAUCUGGGCAGGAUUGGAGUUGCUGGUGGGGCUUCUUGAGUCUAAAAGCCUGAAGCAGCAACAUGAUGGUUCAUUGGCCUUGCACACAUUGGCUACAAAAGCCUCUCCACUCUCUCAUGUAGAUGCAGUUCCUCCAGCACCAAACUCACAGAAGUUCAGAAAAGGGGAAAGGACUUCUGGAAUGAGUUUGAUUUUGGGAAGCUUCAACUCGAUCAAACUCGAAUUGGUGGCUCUAGAGUUGUGAUUGUUUGGUGUUCUUCUUCGAACUAAAGGGACAAGUGUGGAAGCCAAUUAAUGGAUGGUUGCAUUGCUGGUGAACUGCUGGAUUGAAGACUGGAAGAAUGGCUACUAAGUUGCUGUAUUAGAAUUAGGAUUUCUAUUUCAUUGCAUAUUUGUACUUGAAUUUGGACUUCGUAUUUAAAUUUGGACACUUUGUAUUUCAAUUGUAGCUUUAAUUGUUCUUGAUAAGUACUUGAAUUUGGAUAUUAUGUAUUAUGGAUAUUUGAAUUUGCAGCUUGAACUUUGGAUCUUGA
Molecule: long non-coding RNA, 1031 nt
Organism: Rosa rugosa (rugosa rose)
Lineage: Eukaryota; Viridiplantae; Streptophyta; Magnoliopsida; Rosales; Rosaceae
Exons: 4
Source: RefSeq, a predicted model, not a curated record